GUGGUUGUAGCUCAGUGCUAGAGCACUUGUCUAGCAAGUAUGAGGCACUAGGUUCAAUUCUUAGCACUAUA
Molecule: transfer RNA, 71 nt
Filed under: Marmota marmota marmota (Alpine marmot)
Lineage: Eukaryota; Metazoa; Chordata; Mammalia; Rodentia; Sciuridae
Also listed under: 3 other names
Rfam family: tRNA
About the family: Transfer RNA (tRNA) molecules are approximately 80 nucleotides in length. Their secondary structure includes four short double-helical elements and three loops (D, anti-codon, and T loops).
Source: Rfam by way of RNAcentral